AUUGAACGCUGGCGGCAGGCCUAACACAUGCAAGUCGAGCGGAUGAAGAGAGCUUGCUCUCUGAUUCAGCGGCGGACGGGUGAGUAAUGCCUAGGAAUCUGCCUGGUAGUGGGGGACAACGUCUCGAAAGGGACGCUAAUACCGCAUACGUCCUACGGGAGAAAGCAGGGGACCUUCGGGCCUUGCGCUAUCAGAUGAGCCUAGGUCGGAUUAGCUAGUUGGUGAGGUAAUGGCUCACCAAGGCGACGAUCCGUAACUGGUCUGAGAGGAUGAUCAGUCACACUGGAACUGAGACACGGUCCAGACUCCUACGGGAGGCAGCAGUGGGGAAUAUUGGACAAUGGGCGAAAGCCUGAUCCAGCCAUGCCGCGUGUGUGAAGAAGGUCUUCGGAUGUAAAGCACUUUAAGUGGGAGGAAGGG
Molecule: ribosomal RNA, 420 nt
Filed under: Pseudomonas sp. R-42011
Lineage: Bacteria; Pseudomonadati; Pseudomonadota; Gammaproteobacteria; Pseudomonadales; Pseudomonadaceae
Description: bacterial SSU rRNA
Rfam family: Bacterial small subunit ribosomal RNA
Source: RNAcentral